ACUCCUACGGGAGGCAGCAGUGGGGAAUCUUGGACAAUGGGGCAACCCGUGAUCCAGCCAUGCCGCGUGAGUGAUGAAGGCCCUAGGGUCGUAAAGCUCUUUCGCCUGUGAAGAUAAUGACUGUAGCAGGUAAAGAAACCCCGGCUAACUCCGUUGCCAGCAGCCGCGGUAAUACGGAGGGGUUAGCGUUGUUCGGAAUUACUGGGCGUAAAGCGCGCGUAGGCGGACUGGAAAGUUGGGGUGAAAUCCCAGGGCUCAAGCCCUGGAACUGCCUCCAAAACUAAUCAGUCUAGAGUUCGAGAGAGGUGAGUGGAAUUCCGAGUGUAGAGGUGAAAUUCGUAGAUAUUCGGAGGAACACCAGUGGCGAAGGCGGCUCACUGGCUCGAUACUGACGCUGAGGUGC
This 403-nucleotide ribosomal RNA is filed under the name uncultured bacterium. RNAcentral's name for it is "bacterial SSU rRNA". It matches the Rfam family "Bacterial small subunit ribosomal RNA", at positions 335 to 754 of the family's 1533-position model. The record is from RNAcentral.